AACGAACGCUGGCGGCAUGCCUAACACAUGCAAGUCGAACGAGACCUUCGGGUCUAGUGGCGCACGGGUGCGUAACACGUGGGAAUCUGCCCUUGGGUUCGGAAUAACAGUUGGAAACGACUGCUAAUACCGGAUGAUGACGUAAGUCCAAAGAUUUAUCGCCCAAGGAUGAGCCCGCGUCGGAUUAGCUAGUUGGUGGG
RNAcentral lists this ribosomal RNA (200 nucleotides) under uncultured bacterium. RNAcentral's name for it is "partial 16S ribosomal RNA". It matches the Rfam family "Bacterial small subunit ribosomal RNA", at positions 29 to 256 of the family's 1533-position model. The record is from RNAcentral.